GCAGCUGUGGUGUAAUGGUGAAACAUGCCUCCCUCCCAAGGAGGCGAUUCGGGUUUUGAUUCCCGGCAGCUGCA
Molecule: transfer RNA, 74 nt
Filed under: Tigriopus californicus
Lineage: Eukaryota; Metazoa; Arthropoda; Copepoda; Harpacticoida; Harpacticidae
Description: tRNA-Gly for anticodon CCC
Rfam family: tRNA
About the family: Transfer RNA (tRNA) molecules are approximately 80 nucleotides in length. Their secondary structure includes four short double-helical elements and three loops (D, anti-codon, and T loops). Further hydrogen bonds mediate the characteristic L-shaped molecular structure. tRNAs have two regions of fundamental functional importance: the anti-codon, which is responsible for specific mRNA codon recognition, and the 3' end, to which the tRNAs corresponding amino acid is attached (by aminoacyl-tRNA synthetases). tRNAs cope with the degeneracy of the genetic code in two manners: having more than one tRNA (with a specific anti-codon) for a particular amino acid; and 'wobble' base-pairing, i.e. permitting non-standard base-pairing at the 3rd anti-codon position.
Source: Rfam by way of RNAcentral